GGGGUGUGAUGAUUUGAAACUUUGGUCCGUGUUUCUGAUGUGCUUAACGCACCUGCAGAGAACGGUUUCUUCGUCUGACCCC
Molecule: small nucleolar RNA, 82 nt
Filed under: Chlamydomonas reinhardtii
Lineage: Eukaryota; Viridiplantae; Chlorophyta; Chlorophyceae; Chlamydomonadales; Chlamydomonadaceae
Description: CrCD30 snoRNA
Source: RNAcentral